RNAcentral lists this ribosomal RNA (468 nucleotides) under uncultured bacterium. Its description in RNAcentral is "partial 16S ribosomal RNA". It matches the Rfam family "Bacterial small subunit ribosomal RNA", at positions 28 to 507 of the family's 1533-position model. The record is from RNAcentral.
GAUGAACGCUGGCGGCGUGCUUAACACAUGCAAGUCGAACGGAAAGGCCCAAGCUUGCUUGGGUACUCGAGUGGCGAACGGGUGAGUAACACGUGGGUGAUCUGCCCUGCACUUCGGGAUAAGCCUGGGAAACUGGGUCUAAUACCGGAUAGGACGAUGGUUUGGAUGCCAUUGUGGAAAGUUUUUUCGGUGUGGGAUGAGCUCGCGGCCUAUCAGCUUGUUGGUGGGGUAAUGGCCUACCAAGGCGUCGACGGGUAGCCGGCCUGAGAGGGUGUACGGCCACAUUGGGACUGAGAUACGGCCCAGACUCCUACGGGGGGCAGCAGUGGGGAAUAUUGCACAAUGGGCGCAGGCCUGAUGCAGCGACGCCGCGUGGGGGAUGACGGCCUUCGGGUUGUAAACUCCUUUCGCUAGGGACGAAGCGUUUUUGUGACGGUACCUGGAGAAGAAGCACCGGCUAACUACGUG